AUCCAGCUGAUGUGUACUGGAUAGGACGAAACGCGAGUCCUGGAU
Schistosoma haematobium is the source of this 45-nucleotide non-coding RNA. Lineage: Eukaryota; Metazoa; Platyhelminthes; Trematoda; Strigeidida; Schistosomatidae. The record is from Rfam.